CUAAAGUGAAAGUUGCUUAUGCUGUCAAUGGAGUGACAGAAACCUCUUGACUUUCAUUUAAAAUAUCUUCAAUUGUAUUCUGAGAAUGAACAAAAGUUUUAGGGGAUUGGAACAACAUGAGGUGCACACGGCUGUGAGUGUGGUGUCGUGACUACAUUCAUCUUCAUAAAAAGACUGUGGGCUGAUGUGUUACUUCCUAAUUCAUCCAUUGUGUGAGUCUCGUCUCUUCUCUCACUCUCGCUGUAAUGGAGUUGUUCAUCUUCAUAGUGUUUCAGCUCCUGAUGGAGGUUCAGUCUUACAAUUCACUUCCGAAACCCUUCAUCAGUGUUAGUGGAGAUGAUGUCCAGCUCUUCAUAUCAUGUGAAAUACCACUUUCAGUCAGAGCUGAUUUCAACUGUAGUCUCUACACUGAGGAUGAUGUUCUUCUGUAUCAACGUGUCUCUCAGUGGAGUCAGUCUGCAAAGAAUCAUUGUAUGUUUUAUGUAAGUCGUAGUGAACUCUUGACACGAUCAGUGAACAGUAGACAGCUGAUCUGUGUUUAUUCACGCAAGACUGAACCUGAGAUCAGAUCACCACACAGUGACACAUACACCUUCAGAGACACAAGCACCGUUAGAGACACAAGCAUGGUCAGAGCUUCAACACCAACCACCACUAAACAUACGACUACAACAACAGCCAUGAAAACCUUAGAUGUCCAAUCCAAGACAAGCCUGCCAACCAGCAAAGCACAGAAAACCCAGACUUCAACACCAACCACCACUAAACAUACGACUACAACAACAGCCAUGAAAACCUUAGGUGUCCAAUCCAAGACAAGCCCGCCAACCAGAAAAGCAAAGAAAACCCAGACAUUAAAUGUAAUGUCCACUUCUGAAACAACAACAUACAGUGGAACUGUAGACUUUCAAUCUAAAUCAAACCUGCCAACCAACACAGCAACGGAAACCAUGGAACUAUGGUAUAUAGUGCUGGGUUCUACUGGCGUUGCUGUAAUUUUGUCUGGACUCAUCUGUUUCUGUCGGUUUGCAAGUAAAAAAAGAAGAAAACUAAACAAAACAAGAUCAAACAAACCUGAUGUGACCAGUCAAGAGAUUGGUAUGAGUUGUUCUGGACCUGCAGAGACAUACUGUCUGAUCACGUCUGUACCAUCCACAUCUCAGCCCAUAUCUGAAGGCCUCGAACAGGACAGCACAGCAGAUCCCAAAGACAGUUACUCUUUCAUUACUUCUGUCAAUUCAAUUUACCAUUCCCCAGAUGUUUUGGUUAAUAAACAACAGAAACAGGGAAAUACAGAGGAAAAUGAGAAUGUUUAUCACCUGUACUGCACAAUCCCUGACAAACCAGUUAACUCAAACACAGAAGAUCACGUGUACAGUUUGGUGAAGAUGCACUGAUGAAUCUCUGAUUUCAUCAUGUACAGCCAUUAAAGUAUCUUUACUUGCACACAAAUAGGUGUUUAUUUACAUUAUUCAGUGUUUGGUAUGAACUAUACUGUGACCUCAGUGAAUAUCCAGAGCAUCUUCUCUGGCAAGCCUCACUAGAGCAAUACUUCAUUGUAAGAAGAGCUUGGGCAUUCAAUAAGAGCUGAACUAAAAAUCUAACGAUAAUGGAAUUUGAACCAUAUGAAGAUUUGAACUAAAUAUUUUUUUCUUCUUAGUAUUCUGUAUUACUAAAAAAAAAAAAAAAUCUAUGUUUAGAUUAGUUUUUAUCUUUAGAUUAGUUUUUAACUUCUCCUUCCACAAAACCCAGCUGAUUACAUCAGCGAUGACAGAGAAAAUGACUUGCAUCCUGUUUUUAGUGAAUCAUUUUAGCUUUAAAAAAAUAGGCUUUUUUAUAUUACCUUAUUUUUUCUGAGAACUGUGAUCCUUCCCUCACGCUGCUGUGCAGGUCAAAUGGGCAUCUGAUGUUCCAAGCAAAAGACACAAGCACUUACUGACACCACUGAUGAUAUCACUGAGUUUCCACACAUUUACAAUGUUUUUAAUUUUUUUUAUUUUUACAUUUUUUUAUUUUGAUGUUUCAGUAAUUUUGAAUGGAUCCAUAUAGUAUAUACAGUCAGGUCAAGGCUGCUGGUAUAGUGGUUUUUGUCAUCUCCAUGUUGUUCUGUUUUGUAUGACAUGUUGACUUGUGUUUAUUUGAAUAUUAAAAAAAAGCUUUAAGCAUUGUUCCCUUCACAAGUAUCUGCUGCAUUGUUUACAUACAUUGUGAAUCAUCACCAUUCUUCUUCUUCUUUUUUUUACAUUUUUUUUUACAGUUGAAAAUAAUGUUCUGGAAUAUUUUCAUGAGUGGUUUGGUUUGCACAGUAGUCCUAAAUUUAUAUAGACUCCUUUUAUCAUUUUGAUAUCUGGACUCUGGUCUCCAAGUGUCCUGUUUCGAUUAUAUAUAUAUUUUUUUAAUCAAGCUGAAACAUAUUUAAUUCUACGAAUUUAAAUAUUUAGCUUUAAAUAUGCUUAAAGCCUGUAAAAGAUUUAUUUCAAAUAUUCUUAUUCAUGCUCAGAGAUAUACACGUUGCAUGUUAAUGUUACAUUGCACAUGACUGUGAGUGUGGUCUAAUUACCUGUUCUUUGAUCUACAUAAAACUGCUCAAUGCCUUAAAUGGUUUCCUGUGGUCUGAUCUGCCACUUCCUAAUUCACACAAUUGUUUGAGUUUCAUUCUGUCUCUUUCACACUCGCUGUAAUGGAGUUCUUCAUUUUCACAGUUUUUC
Molecule: long non-coding RNA, 2708 nt
Organism: Cyprinus carpio carpio
Lineage: Eukaryota; Metazoa; Chordata; Actinopteri; Cypriniformes; Cyprinidae
Source: Ensembl